CCUUAAUUACACAGGUAAAUACUGCAGGGCCAAAACACCACGUGGUGAAAAAGACAAUGGACCAAAAAAAUGAAACCCAUAUUCAUAGUCUUAGAUGCGUUUUUCUCUUUCUCAUUUUUAUAACGGUAAACAAUGCUAUUGAAUGACAUUGAAAAUCAUUGCAUGUGCUAGAGAUUGAAACGAACUUGAAAAUGUUGCGAUUGCCCCCUAAAGUCGACCCAGAAGAACAAAAGAAAAUAGCGAGAUAUGGGUGCAUACAGAGCGUUUGUGUAUUUGCAGUCACAUGUGCCGUUAUCCGUGCUCUACCAUACGUUAUGAAGCAGCUGAAUUCCUAAGGACUGUUGCUCUGCUGGGAGGUCAAGAGAGCUGUACAUAGUUUGACAAUGCCUCAUGGAGGAAAAUGUAGAUACUAGACACUGCAUAACAAAUUUGUUUUUGAUGAUGAUGAGCAUCCUGUUUUUGCAGUUAUAUGAUGAUAAAUAAAUGUAUCUCGCAUAUCUAA
Long non-coding RNA from Magallana angulata, 502 nucleotides. RefSeq lists it as uncharacterized. The transcript has 2 exons. The record is from RefSeq and is a predicted model, not a curated record. Lineage: Eukaryota; Metazoa; Mollusca; Bivalvia; Ostreida; Ostreidae.